This 256-nucleotide unclassified non-coding RNA is filed under the name Hevea brasiliensis (rubber tree). The record is from RNAcentral. Lineage: Eukaryota; Viridiplantae; Streptophyta; Magnoliopsida; Malpighiales; Euphorbiaceae.
UGUGCAAUGUUGCUGCAGGAAAUGGAAUUCAGAGUUCUGCCGGAGCAGAGGUGGCGGCUCCACGUCGGAGAUGCUGAUCUCCGGCACCGACCGUGAUAUAUCAUCCAUAGAGAAUGGUAUGCUAGAGUCAUCAUCCAACAAGAAUGAAUUGUUAGGCAUGCUCACAGAAUCAUCACUCAUCAUGGUUCUCAUCUUUGCAAUCACAUCCUGAGAUAAACCCUGUGUCCCGUAUUUGUCGUCCCAAAACAUGGUUCCG